This 406-nucleotide ribosomal RNA is filed under the name uncultured bacterium. RNAcentral's name for it is "partial 16S ribosomal RNA". It matches the Rfam family "Bacterial small subunit ribosomal RNA", at positions 30 to 526 of the family's 1533-position model. The record is from RNAcentral.
AUUGAACGCUGGCGGCAGGCCUAACACAUGCAAGUCGAACGAGUGGCGGACGGGUGAGUAAUGUCUGGGAAACUGUCUGAUGGAGGGGGAUAACUACUGGAAACGGUAGCUUAUACCGCAUACCAUCAGAUGUGCCCAGAUGGGAGUAGCUUGUUGGUGGGGUAACGGAUCACCAAGGCGACGACCCCUAGCUGGUCGGAGAGGAUGACAAGCCCCACUGGAACUGAGCCACGGUCCAGACGCCUACGGGAGGCAGCAGUGGGGAAUAUUGCACAAUGGGCGCAAGCCUGGUGCAGCCAUGCCGCGUGUAUGAAGAAGGCCUUCGGGUUGUAAAGUACGUUCAGCUGGGAGGCGUUACCCGCAGAAGAAGCACCGGCUAACUCCGUGCCAGCAGCCGCGGUAAUUC